AUUGAACGCUGGCGGCAUGCCUUAACACAUGCAAGUCGAGCGCCCCGCAAGGGGAGCGGCAGACGGGUGAGUAACGCGUGGGAACGUACCCUUUGCUACGGAAUAGCUCCGGGAAACUGGAAUUAAUACCGUAUGUGCCCUACGGGGGAAAGAUUUAUCGGCAAAGGAUCGGCCCGCGUUGGAUUAGCUAGUUGGUGGGGUAAUGGCCUACCAAGGCGACGAUCCAUAGCUGGUCUGAGAGGAUGAUCAGCCACAUUGGGACUGAGACACGGCCCAAACUCCUACGGGAGGCAGCAGUGGGGAAUAUUGGACAAUGGGCGCAAGCCUGAUCCAGCCAUGCCGCGUGAGUGAUGAAGGCCUUAGGGUUGUAAAGCUCUUUCACCGGAGAAGAUAAUGACGGUAUCCGGAGAAGAAGCCCCGGCUAACUUCGUGCCAGCCGCCGCCGUAA
This 448-nucleotide ribosomal RNA is filed under the name uncultured bacterium. RNAcentral describes it as "partial 16S ribosomal RNA". It matches the Rfam family "Bacterial small subunit ribosomal RNA", at positions 30 to 523 of the family's 1533-position model. The record is from RNAcentral.